This 131-nucleotide non-coding RNA is filed under the name Teredinibacter turnerae. The record is from RNAcentral. RNAcentral also lists the same sequence under 1 other name. Lineage: Bacteria; Pseudomonadati; Pseudomonadota; Gammaproteobacteria; Cellvibrionales; Cellvibrionaceae.
CAGUCCCCCAGGAUUUCAGGUCACUCCGGUGAUAAAUGGGAAGCUGGAAAGCCAGCGCUGCCCCCGCAACGGUAAAGUGUUACGCCCGUCGUCACACUAAGCCCGAUACCAGCCUGAAACCGCUUCGAUAC